RNAcentral lists this ribosomal RNA (305 nucleotides) under uncultured bacterium. RNAcentral's name for it is "bacterial SSU rRNA". It matches the Rfam family "Bacterial small subunit ribosomal RNA", at positions 335 to 658 of the family's 1533-position model. The record is from RNAcentral.
AGACCUACGGGACGCAGCAGUGGGGAAUAUUGCACAAUGGGGGAAACCCUGAUGCAGCGACGCCGCGUGAGUGAAGAAGUAUUUCGGUAUGUAUAGCUCUAUCAGCAGGGAAGAUAAUGACGGUACCUGAGUAAGAAGCCCCGGCUAACUACGUGCCAGCAGCCGCGGUAAUACGUAGGGGGCAAGCGUUAUCCGGAUUUAUUGGGUUUAAAGGGUGCGCAGGCGGUCUGUUAAGUCAGCGGUCAAAGCCCGGGGCUCAACCCCGGCCCGCCGUUGAAACUGGCAGUCUCGAGUUGGAGAGAAGU